CCAAUACCAGCUGAAGAAAGAGGAUCAGGGAGAAUGAAUUGCUCCAUACUAACAAGAGAAAGAUACUGGAGAAGAAUCAUCAGAGACACCCCAUCAUCUUGCACUGCUCACAAGCAUCUACUGAAGCUCUCUGGAUUGAGUGGGAAUGAAGAUAUCUGCCCUCCACAUGAUAUUACAUAUUAAUGCUAAAUU
Long non-coding RNA from Mustela erminea (ermine), 192 nucleotides. RefSeq lists it as uncharacterized. Lineage: Eukaryota; Metazoa; Chordata; Mammalia; Carnivora; Mustelidae. The transcript is spliced from 3 exons. The record is from RefSeq and is a predicted model, not a curated record.